Molecule: long non-coding RNA, 409 nt
Organism: Oreochromis aureus
Lineage: Eukaryota; Metazoa; Chordata; Actinopteri; Cichliformes; Cichlidae
Source: Ensembl
GGUACUUACACAGAACCCUGUGGAAAUCCAUAAUUAACCUCUGUGUUUGAACAGGACUCUCCAUUGACAUGAACAAAGUGGAGUCUAUUAAAUAGAUAUGAUUCAAACCACUGAGAUAUUAAAGAUCACCAUGAGGCUGCUGAUUGUGUUUGCACUUCUUUGUGUAAUGGUCCCUCUGAUCAUUACUGCUCAAAAAUCGGGCAGCAGUGGAGCAGAGGAUAAGCCACCAGAAGAGCAUCUUGUUGACAAGAGAAGCCGGGGGCUUUGGCGCAGAGCUUUUAGUGUCUUUGGAUACGGGAAAAAGGUGGACGAAUGAUAUGUACGGUCACCACUGAUACCGAUUUUGUCUGGGUCUGAAAAAGAAGAUGAUCCCUGGUCUUCCAUGAAAAGCCAUGGCCACCAGACAAAG